GAAAUUUUAAGUUUAAAGACUUAAAUUUUAAAGAUUUAGGUUGAUUUACAUAGUUAGCUAGUUAAAAUUUGA
Molecule: transfer RNA, 72 nt
Filed under: Cancer pagurus (edible crab)
Lineage: Eukaryota; Metazoa; Arthropoda; Malacostraca; Decapoda; Cancridae
Description: tRNA-Leu
Source: RNAcentral